CAGCGUUACGAUUCGCCCUUUUCCGGUUGAUCCCGCCGGACCCGACUGCUAUUGGGGUGAGGCUAAGCCAUGCGAGUCAGCGCUUCUAGCCAUGAUGGAGCGCGGCAUACGGCUCAGUAACAUGUGGUUAAUCUAUCCUCAGGACGGGGACACCCUCGGGAAACUGAGGCUGAACCCAGAUAGAUAAUGGAUCCUGGAAUGGUCUUUUAUCGAAAUGAUACGCGACUCAUGCGUCAUGUGUCGCCUGAGGAUGAGACCGCACCCUAUCAGGUAGUUGGUGGGGUAACGGCCCACCAAGCCUAUAACGGGUACGGGCCCUGAGAGGGGGAGCCCGGAGAUGGGCACUGAGACAAGGGCCCAGGCCCUACGGGGCGCAGCAGGCGCGAAACCUCUGCAAUGCACGAAAGUGCGACAGGGCCACCCCGAGUGCUAGGCGCUGAGUCUAGCUUUUCCCGAGUGUAGUAAGCUCGGGGAAUAAGCGGGGGGCAAGCCUGGUGUCAGCCGCCGCGGUAAUACCAGCUCCGCGAGUGGUCGGGACGAUUAUUGGGCCUAAAGCGUCCGUAGCCGGUCUAGCAAGUCUUUGGUUAAACUUCAAGGCCUAACCUUGAGAUUGCUGGAGAUACUGCUAGACUAGGGGGCGGUAGAGGUUG
This 650-nucleotide ribosomal RNA is filed under the name uncultured archaeon. RNAcentral describes it as "bacterial SSU rRNA". It matches the Rfam family "Archaeal small subunit ribosomal RNA", at positions 1 to 611 of the family's 1478-position model. The record is from RNAcentral.